GGGAGAUCCAUGGAAGAGCCAUUGCAAAUAGAAGACGCUCUAAUAGAAGAAACAACUGCCGAAGUGCUUCUCGGUUUCACUUUUAGCAAAAAUCUAUCUUGUGCACUCGACUUGAAUGAUCCUCAGCUUGGGAUUGUGGAAAAGACUGGUUAAAUCAUCCCCUUACAGCCGGACUAGUGGAGGCUCAUGUGGGUGAAAAGAACACGCGCCAAAGAUCUUCUAGAGCCUACCCUCCCCAAGCAACCAAGAAGUCAAUUAUUACCAGAAUUGUUGAAGUUUGGGAAAGACUGCCUGUGCACAUCAGGGAGGAAGAAAGCAAAGCAAAAGUGAAAAGUUUAAACAAGACCUGCUACCUAUCUACUCAGUAAUAACAAAUAUGAAUCCAAAGAAGCAAGACAUUGUGAAACAUAUCUUUUUGUGAUGUUGAAUAUAAUAAUCCGUAAGGUCGAUCAAUAGGAAUCAUACAAAUUUAAAAUUGUAUAUCUCGUGUUCCUGUGACCAGAAAUAAAUAAGUCAUCGUUAUCAUCA
Tigriopus californicus is the source of this 528-nucleotide long non-coding RNA. RefSeq lists it as uncharacterized. The record is from RefSeq and is a predicted model, not a curated record. Lineage: Eukaryota; Metazoa; Arthropoda; Copepoda; Harpacticoida; Harpacticidae. The transcript is spliced from 2 exons.